UACAGAGGGGGCAAGCGUUAUUCGGAAUUAUUGGGCGUAAAGGGCGCGUAGGCGGGUGCUUAAGUCCGGGGUGAAAUCCUCCAGCUCAACUGGAGAACUGCCUCGGAUACUGGGUGUCUCGAGUGUGGUAGGGGUAUGCGGAACUAUCGGUGGAGCGGUGAAAUGCGUAGAUAUCGGAAGGAACACCAGUGGCGAAGGCGGCUACCUGGACUGACACUGACGCUGAGGCGCGAGAGCGUGGGGAGCAAACAGG
This 253-nucleotide ribosomal RNA is filed under the name uncultured bacterium. Its description in RNAcentral is "partial 16S ribosomal RNA". It matches the Rfam family "Bacterial small subunit ribosomal RNA", at positions 524 to 776 of the family's 1533-position model. The record is from RNAcentral.